GACUAUGGCCAUGCCACCCUGAAUAAGCCCAUGUGUGAUCUCGGAAGCUAAGCAUGGUUGAGUCUGGUUAGUACUUGGAUGGGAGACCACUUAGGAAGACCAGGUUCUAUAGGCA
RNAcentral lists this ribosomal RNA (115 nucleotides) under Pteropus alecto (black flying fox). Lineage: Eukaryota; Metazoa; Chordata; Mammalia; Chiroptera; Pteropodidae. The record is from RNAcentral.